UACGUAGGCAGCAAGCGUUGUUCGGAAUUACUGGGCGUAAAGAGUGUGUAGGCGGUGUUCCAAGUCUGGUGUGAAAUCUCCCGGCUUAACUGGGAGGGUGCAUUAGAAACUGGAAUGCUAGAGGAUGGGAGAGGUAAGCGGAAUUCCUGGUGUAGCGGUGAAAUGCGUAGAUAUCAGGAGGAACACCCGUGGCGAAAGCGGCUCUCUGGGACGGUACUGACGCUGAGACGCGAAGGCGUGGGGAGCAAACAGG
Molecule: ribosomal RNA, 253 nt
Filed under: uncultured bacterium
Lineage: Bacteria
Description: partial 16S ribosomal RNA
Rfam family: Bacterial small subunit ribosomal RNA
Source: RNAcentral